GACGAACGCUGGCGGCGUGCUUAACACAUGCAAGUCGAACGGAAAGGCCCUGCUUUUGUGGGGUGCUCGAGUGGCGAACGGGUGAGUAACACGUGAGUAACCUGCCCUUGACUUUGGGAUAACUUUAGGAAACUGGGGCUAAUACCGGAUAGGAGCUCCUGCUGCAUGGGGGGGGUUGGAAAGUUUCGGCGGUUGGGGAUGGACUCGCGGCUUAUCAGCUUGUUGGUGGGGUAGGGGCUUACCAAGGCAUUGACGGGUAGCCGGCCUGAGAGGGUGACCGGCCACAUUGGGCCUGCGAUACGGCCCAGACUCCUACGUGAGGCAGCAGUCGGGAAUAUUGCACAGUGGGCGGACGCCUGAUGCGGCAACGCCGCGUGCGGGAUGCCGGCCUUCGGGUUGUAAACCGCUUUCGCCUGUGACGAAGCGUGAGUGGCGGUAAUGGGUAAAGAAGCACCGGCUAACUACGUG
RNAcentral lists this ribosomal RNA (468 nucleotides) under uncultured bacterium. RNAcentral describes it as "partial 16S ribosomal RNA". It matches the Rfam family "Bacterial small subunit ribosomal RNA", at positions 28 to 507 of the family's 1533-position model. The record is from RNAcentral.